AGGGGAUCUUCCGCAAUGGGCGAAAGCCUGACGGAGCAACGCCGCGUGAGUGAGGAAGGUCUUCGGAUCGUAAAGCUCUGUUGCCAAGGAAGAACGGCCCGGAGAGUCACUGCUCCGGGAGUGACGGUACUUGAGAAGAAAGCCCCGGCUAACUACGUGCCAGCAGCCGCGGUAAUACGUAGGGGGCAAGCGUUGUCCGGAAUUAUUGGGCGUAAAGCGCGCGCAGGCGGUCUGUUAAGUCGUGUGUUUAAGCCCGGGGCUCAACCCCGGUUCGCAUGGGAAACUGGCAGUACUUGAGUGCAGGAGAGGAAAGCGGAAUUCCACAUGUAGCGGUGAAAUGCGUAGAGAUGUGGAGGAACACCAGUGGCGAAGGCGGCUUUCUGGACUGUAACUGACGCUGAGGCGCGGAAGCGUGGGGAGCAAAC
RNAcentral lists this ribosomal RNA (425 nucleotides) under uncultured bacterium. Its description in RNAcentral is "bacterial SSU rRNA". It matches the Rfam family "Bacterial small subunit ribosomal RNA", at positions 356 to 773 of the family's 1533-position model. The record is from RNAcentral.